RNAcentral lists this ribosomal RNA (394 nucleotides) under uncultured bacterium. RNAcentral's name for it is "partial 16S ribosomal RNA". It matches the Rfam family "Bacterial small subunit ribosomal RNA", at positions 523 to 918 of the family's 1533-position model. The record is from RNAcentral.
AUACGUAGGGAGCGAGCGUUGUCCGGAAUUACUGGGCGUAAAGGGCGCGUAGGCGGCGCUUCAAGUCGUCUGUCAAAUGGGAGGGCUUAACCCUUUUUCGCAGACGAAACUGGAGAGCUUGAGAAGCAGAGAGGCAAACAGAAUUCCUGGUGUAGCGGUGAAAUGCGUAGAUAUCAGGAAGAAUACCAGUGGCGAAGGCGGUUUGCUGGCUGCAUACUGACGCUGAAGCGCGAAAGCCAGGGGAGCAAACGGGAUUAGAUACCCCGGUAGUCCUGGCAGUAAACGAUGUAUGCUGGGUGUGAGACUAGCGAUAGUUUCGUGCCGAAGUUAACGCGAUAAGCAUACCGCCUGGGGAAUACGGUCGCAAGAUUGAAACUCAAAUGAAUUGACGGGG